AACGAACGCUGGCGGCAUGCCUAACACAUGCAAGUCGAACGAGACCUUCGGGUCUAGUGGCGCACGGGUGCGUAACGCGUGGGAAUCUGCCCUUGGGUUCGGAAUAACAGUUGGAAACGACUGCUAAUACCGGAUGAUGACGUAAGUCCAAAGAUUUAUCGCCCAAGGAUGAGCCCGCGUAGGAUCAGCUAGUUGGUGAGGUAAAGGCUCACCAAGGCGACGAUCCUUAGCUGGUCUGAGAGGAUGAUCAGCCACACUGGGACUGAGACACGGCCCAGACUCCUACGGGAGGCAGCAGUGGGGAAUAUUGGACAAUGGGCGAAAGCCUGAUCCAGCAAUGCCGCGUGAGUGAUGAAGGCCUUAGGGUUGUAAAGCUCUUUUACCCGGGAUGAUAAUGACAGUACCGGGAGAAUAAGCUCCGGCUAACUCCGUG
RNAcentral lists this ribosomal RNA (433 nucleotides) under uncultured bacterium. RNAcentral describes it as "partial 16S ribosomal RNA". It matches the Rfam family "Bacterial small subunit ribosomal RNA", at positions 29 to 507 of the family's 1533-position model. The record is from RNAcentral.